GAUGAACGCUGGCGGCGUGCCUAAUACAUGCAGGUCGAGCGAACAGAUGAGAAGCUUGCUUCUCUGAUGUUAGCGGCGGACGGGUGAGUAACACGUGGGUAACCUACCUAUAAGACUGGGAUAACUCCGGGAAACCGGGGCUAAUACCGGAUAAUAUUUUGAACCGCAUGGUUCAAUAGUGAAAGACGGUUUCGGCUGUCACUUAUAGAUGGACCCGCGCCGUAUUAGCUAGUUGGUAAGGUAACGGCUUACCAAGGCGACGAUACGUAGCCGACCUGAGAGGGUGAUCGGCCACACGGGAACUGAGACACGGUCCAGACUCCUACGGGAGGCAGCAGUAGGGAAUCGUCCGCAAUGGGCGAAAGCCUGACGGAGCAAUGCCGCGUGAGUGAAGAAGGCCUUCGGGUCGUAAAACUCUGUUAUAAGAGAAGAACAAAUUGUAGAGUAACUGCUACAGUCUUGACGGUAUCUUAUCAGAAAGCCACGGCUAACUACGUGCCAGCCGCCGCAGUAA
This 514-nucleotide ribosomal RNA is filed under the name uncultured bacterium. Its description in RNAcentral is "partial 16S ribosomal RNA". It matches the Rfam family "Bacterial small subunit ribosomal RNA", at positions 28 to 523 of the family's 1533-position model. The record is from RNAcentral.